Molecule: ribosomal RNA, 701 nt
Filed under: uncultured archaeon
Lineage: Archaea
Description: bacterial SSU rRNA
Rfam family: Archaeal small subunit ribosomal RNA
Source: RNAcentral
CCUACUGCUAUCGGGGGAGGACUAAAACAUGCAAGUCGUGCGCCUCCAAGCCAUGGUGGAGACGCGGCAUACGGCUCAGUAACACGUGGCUAACCCACCCUUGAGACGGAGAAAACCCCGGGAAACUGGGGUUAAUCCCCGAUAAGAGAAGACACCUGGAACGGGUCUCCUUCCAAAGGGCGCCCAGACCAUGCUUUUGGGCGUUGCUCAAGGACGGGGCCGCGGCCGAUCAGGUUGUUGGUGAGGCAAAGGCUCACCAAGCCUAUAACCGGUACGGGCCGUGAGAGCGGGAGCCCGGAGAUGGGCACUGAGACAAGGGCCCAGGCCCUACGGGGCGCAGCAGUUGCGAAAACUCCGCAAUGCACGAAAGUGUGACGGGGCUACCCCGAGUGCCGUCCGCUGAGGGCGGCUUUUCCCCGGUGUAAGGAGCCGGGGGAAUAAGGAGAGGGCAAGUCUGGUGUCAGCCGCCGCGGUAAUACCAGCUCUCCGAGUGGUAGGGAUAAUUAUUGGGCUUAAAGCGUCCGUAGCCGGCCUGACAAGUCUUCCGUUAAAUCCAACGAUUCAAUCGUUGGACUGCGGGAGAUACUGUUAGGCUAGGGGACGGUAGAGGCCGACGGUAUUCUCGGGGUAGGGGUAAAAUCCUAUAAUCCCGGGAAGACCACCAGUGGCGAAGGCGGUCGGCUAGAACGCGCUCGACGGUG